GAUGAACGCUGGCGGCGUGCCUAAUACAUGCAAGUCGAGCGAACAGACGAGGAGCUUGCUCCUCUGACGUUAGCGGCGGACGGGUGAGUAACACGUGGAUAACCUACCUAUAAGACUGGGAUAACUUCGGGAAACCGGAGCUAAUACCGGAUAAUAUAUUGAACCGCAUGGUUCAAUAGUGAAAGACGGUUUUGCUGUCACUUAUAGAUGGAUCCGCGCCGCAUUAGCUAGUUGGUAAGGUAACGGCUUACCAAGGCAACGAUGCGUAGCCGACCUGAGAGGGUGAUCGGCCACACUGGAACUGAGACACGGUCCAGACUCCUACGGGAGGCAGUAGUAGGGAAUCGGCCGCAAUGGGCGAAAGCCUGACGGAGCAACGCCGCGUGAGUGAUGAAGGUCUUCGGAUCGUAAAACUCUGUGAUUAGGGAAGAACAAAUGUGUAAGUAACUAUGCACGUCUUGACGGUACCUAAUCAGAAAGCCACGGCUAACUACGUG
This 497-nucleotide ribosomal RNA is filed under the name uncultured bacterium. RNAcentral's name for it is "partial 16S ribosomal RNA". It matches the Rfam family "Bacterial small subunit ribosomal RNA", at positions 28 to 507 of the family's 1533-position model. The record is from RNAcentral.